GAUGAACGCUAGCUACAGGCUUAACACACGCAAGUCGAGGGGUAACGAGAGGAAAGCUUGCUUUCCUUGUCGACGACCGGCGCACGGGUGAGUAACGCGUAUCCAACCUGCCCCCAACUAAGGAAUAACCUUGCGAAAGUAAGACUAAUACCUUAUAAUUUCCUCAGAUGUCAUCUGACGAGGAAUAAAGAUUUAUCGGUUGUGGAUGGGGAUGCGUCUGAUUAGCUCGUUGGCGGGGUAACGGCCCACCAAGGCAACGAUCAGUAGGGGUUCUGAGAGGAAGGUACCCCACAUUGGAACUGAGACACGGUCCAGACUCCUACGGGAGGCAGCAGUGAGGAAUAUUGGUCAAUGGGCGAAAGCCUGAACCAGCCAAGUAGCGUGCAGGAUGACGGCCCUAUGGGUUGUAAACUGCUUUUAUACAGGAAUAAAGUUAGCCACGUGUGGUUAUUUGUAGGUACUGUAUGAAUAAGGACCGGCUAAUUCCGUGCCAGCCGCCGCGGUAA
RNAcentral lists this ribosomal RNA (506 nucleotides) under uncultured bacterium. RNAcentral describes it as "partial 16S ribosomal RNA". It matches the Rfam family "Bacterial small subunit ribosomal RNA", at positions 28 to 523 of the family's 1533-position model. The record is from RNAcentral.